RNAcentral lists this ribosomal RNA (253 nucleotides) under uncultured bacterium. RNAcentral describes it as "partial 16S ribosomal RNA". It matches the Rfam family "Bacterial small subunit ribosomal RNA", at positions 524 to 776 of the family's 1533-position model. The record is from RNAcentral.
UACAGAGGGUGCAAGCGUUGUUCGGAAUCAUUGGGCGUAAAGGGCGUGUAGGCGGUCUGUUAAGUCAUGUGUGAAAUCCCUCGGCUCAACCGGGGAACGACGCAUGAAACUGUCAGGCUCGAGCACGGUAGAGGCAGAUGGAAUUCCCGGUGUAGCGGUGGAAUGCGUAGAGAUCGGGAAGAACAUCAGUGGCGAAGGCGGUCUGCUGGGCCGUUGCUGACGCUGAGGCGCGACAGCGUGGGGAGCAAACAGG